Molecule: non-coding RNA, 44 nt
Filed under: Trichobilharzia regenti
Lineage: Eukaryota; Metazoa; Platyhelminthes; Trematoda; Strigeidida; Schistosomatidae
Source: RNAcentral
AUCCACUGACGAGUCCUAAAUAGGAAGAAAUGCGCAUCCUGCAU